RNAcentral lists this ribosomal RNA (495 nucleotides) under Archeohomaloplia ganhaiziensis. RNAcentral describes it as "partial 16S large subunit ribosomal RNA". It matches the Rfam family "Bacterial large subunit ribosomal RNA", at positions 1844 to 2600 of the family's 2925-position model. Lineage: Eukaryota; Metazoa; Arthropoda; Insecta; Coleoptera; Scarabaeidae. The record is from RNAcentral.
UUUAAAGUCUAAUCUGCCCUAUGAGGAUUUAAAUGGCCGCGGUAUUUUGACCGUGCAAAGGUAGCAUAAUAAUUAGUUUUUUAAUUGAAAGCUGGAAUGAAUGAUUGGACGAGAAAAUUACUGUCUCAGUUUAGUUUAAUUAGAAUUUUAUUUUUAAGUAAAAAAGCUUAAAUUUUAUUAAAAGACGAGAAGACCCUAUAGAGUUUUAUACUAUUUUAUUUAUUAAUUUUUUAGAAUUAUUAUAUUAAUAUUUAAAUUAAUAUUUUGUUGGGGCGAUAGAAAAAUUUAAUAAACUUUUUUUUUAUAAGUACAUUAAUUUAUGAUUUAAUGAUCCAUUUUUUAUGAUUAUAAGAUUAAAUUACCUUAGGGAUAACAGCGUUAUUUUUUUUUAGAGUUCUUAUCGAAAAAAAAGAUUGCGACCUCGAUGUUGGAUUAAAAUAAAUAUUUAGUGCAGUAGCUAAGUAGUUAGGUCUGUUCGACCUUUAAAAUUUUACA